RNAcentral lists this ribosomal RNA (913 nucleotides) under uncultured bacterium. RNAcentral's name for it is "bacterial SSU rRNA". It matches the Rfam family "Bacterial small subunit ribosomal RNA", at positions 246 to 1155 of the family's 1533-position model. The record is from RNAcentral.
UAGUUGGUGGGGUAAAGGCCUACCAAGGCGACGAUCAGUAGCGGGUCUGAGAGGAUGAUCCGCCACACUGGAACUGAGACACGGUCCAGACUCCUACGGGAGGCAGCAGUGGGGAAUUUUGGACAAUGGGGGCAACCCUGAUCCAGCCAUUCCGCGUGAGUGAAGAAGGCCUUCGGGUUGUAAAGCUCUUUCAGCUGGAACGAAACGGUACGCUCUAAUAUAGCGUGCUAAUGACGGUACCAGCAGAAGAAGCACCGGCUAACUACGUGCCAGCAGCCGCGGUAAUACGUAGGGUGCGAGCGUUAAUCGGAAUUACUGGGCGUAAAGCGUGCGCAGGCGGAUUGUUAAGCAAGACGUGAAAUCCCCGGGCUUAACCUGGGAAUGGCGUUUUGAACUGGCAGUCUAGAGUGUGUCAGAGGGGGGUAGAAUUCCACGUGUAGCAGUGAAAUGCGUAGAGAUGUGGAGGAAUACCAAUGGCGAAGGCAGCCCCCUGGGAUAACACUGACGCUCAUGUACGAAAGCGUGGGUAGCAAACAGGAUUAGAUACCCUGGUAAUCCACGCCCUAAACGAUGUCAACUGGUUGUUGGGGGAGUGAAAUCCCUUAGUAACGAAGCUAACGCGUGAAGUUGACCGCCUGGGGAGUACGGUCGCAAGAUUAAAACUCAAAGGAAUUGACGGGGACCCGCACAAGCGGUGGAUGAUGUGGAUUAAUUCGAUGCAACGCGAAAAACCUUACCUACCCUUGACAUGUCCAGAAUCCUGCAGAGAUGCGGGAGUGCCCGAAAGGGAAUUGGAACACAGGUGCUGCAUGGCUGUCGUCAGCUCGUGUCGUGAGAUGUUGGGUUAAGUCCCGCAACGAGCGCAACCCUUAUCAUUAGUUGCUACGCAAGGGCACUCUAAUGAGACUGCCGG